UACGUAGGGUGCGAGCGUUGUUCGGAAUCAUUGGGCGUAAAGCGAGAGUAGGUGGUUUGCUAAGUCGGGUGUGAAAUCCCUGGGCUCAACCCAGGAAGUGCAUUCGAAACUAGCUGGCUAGAAGAUGGUAGAGGAAGGUGGAAUUCCAAGUGUAGAGGUGAAAUUCGUAGAUAUUUGGAGGAAUACCGGCGGCGAAGGCGGCCUUCUGGACCAUGCUUGACACUGAGACUCGAAAGCGUGGGGAGCAAACAGG
Molecule: ribosomal RNA, 253 nt
Filed under: uncultured bacterium
Lineage: Bacteria
Description: partial 16S ribosomal RNA
Rfam family: Bacterial small subunit ribosomal RNA
Source: RNAcentral